Mariannaea sp. PMI_226 is the source of this 107-nucleotide non-coding RNA. The record is from the annotation of a GenBank genome assembly. NCBI's taxonomy places the organism in Eukaryota, Fungi, Ascomycota, Sordariomycetes, Hypocreales, Nectriaceae.
GGCCAGAUGGCCGAGCGGUCUAAGGCGCUGUGUUCAGGUUGUUUCAUCAACUAAGGACGACUUUCGCAGUCUAGUAAUAGGCGUGAGUUCGAAUCUCACUCUGGUCA